UUUAUAGCGUUUAUUGAGAACCAGUGUUCAAUAUCAUAUUAAGCAGAGUUUUGUGACUGCCUUGUAAACUUAAGGCUAGUGAGACCCUCUACAGAAUGAAGGCAGUGAGGGGGUCAAAACAAUCUCUGCAAAAUGUGUCACUUUGGUAUGUGGAGCAUUUUGAGCUGAAGACAAUCAAGACCCAGAAGAUUCAAGGAAAACUUUUACCUCUCCCUGAACUGACUAAAAGAAUUUAGAUAGAGAGACUGGUCCAGGGGGAGAGCCAUCACCAGAGAUAACUACAAAGAACACAGGCUUGGUGUAACAAGCUGCAGAGAGUUCAGCUGAGCUUGGAGAUCAAAUUCCUCUCUGUGUCUACUGUCAUCACAUGACAUGGCAACCAUCCACUCACCAAACAUCUACUCUUCCCAUCCUCCUAUGAAUUAUCUUCCUCCCCUUCGAAGUUCCAGAUCCCUACCCCCUUCUCCUGAGCUCAGAAUGAUAGAUAAGCCUCAACUGCCUGAGUGACUGUGGGUCUUGUCUUCUUAUAGGGACCCCAUAAGUAGUAACUAAAAUUGUUUUUUCUCCUAAUAAUCCAUCCUAUAUGUUAAUUUGCUUAUUAGAAUAUCUAAGAACCAAGAAAGGUAAAGAAAAAAUUUCCCUCCCCUACAGUAUACAUACAGAUAAAAGAUAAAUCUCAAUUUUCUUGACAAUUCUACCAAUUCUACCAAACCUAUUAUCCCAUUUUUCUGUAAGAGAAUGAGUAACAAAAUAAAUAUUUCUAAUGAUUAAAUAAUAACAGUGGGGAGUUAUUUUAAUAAAUAAUGUGAAAUAAAAUCUUUAAGUAUAAGAAAUAUAAAAUUCUAUCCAUUAAUGUUAGCCAUACAGCUAUACUUUCAGCCAAAAAAGAGAUUUUUUGGUUGUAGAUGAUAUCUGAGGUAGCUUUCACUCUUUUCCAAAGAUUUCAGAAUCUUCCAAUUCCAUUCUAAUUUUACUGUCUUUUCAUGUAGAAAAAUAAGAAUAUUGGUUUUCUUGGAAUUUUAAGGUUUAUGGAAUUUUAAUUCAGUGCAAAGAGAAAGCUGAGAUUUCACUUAUAUCACUGAAAUUCUGAUAAGUAGAUCUGCUAACUCAUGAAAGUAGAAAAAUGACACUCAUUCAUUUCAGAGUCACUUGCUUAUCUGACAUGGUUGAACAUUUAUCACUUUAGAUAAUGUUGUAAAAGGAAUUCUUAAUAUACCCUCCCAGUGUCUCUCAAGUGUUGUAUGAAUCUGCGCUGUUCACAGCAUGGUGUCCACUUCUGCUGAACAUUCUUAUAAAUGGACUCUAGACCAUCCUGACUCUAGUUCAUGGGUUGUGGGUUCAAGUAUACCUAGAAUUUAGUACAUGCUCUGUUAUCAACUAGCUGUGUGACCUUGGAUAUGGCAAUUUCUCCAUGCUGGAGUUUCAUCCUCUAUCAAAAAAAAAAAAAAAAGAAAAAAGAAAAAAAGAAAUGUCAUGUACAGAUAACAUUACCUACCAUCCAGAGUAAUUGUGACGUUUAAAUGUAUAUUUGAUAAAGAUAGCACAUAUAACACCUUAUCUUCUGCUGAAAUACCAUGAAAAGACAGAAAAUACAACUUUCCAAAUAUUCAAAAAUAAUCUGAAAACAAAGAGUUUAAUUGGUAACCCCAGAAUUUUGAACAACUCUGAAAAACAGAAAGCUCUCAGGGCUCAGCUGUUGUGCAAGUACAAUGUGAAGGAACACCAAGAGGUAGCAGAUGGAAGGAACAGGGAAGGUCCUGAGGAAAAAUUCCUCCUCUCUUUCCCAUGAAAAUACUUGAGAAGGUUCAUGGAGAAAAAUUUCAAAAACAGUUUACUUUGUAACAACGCUCUCUUUUGGGAUACACUGCAUUGUGAUCUAACCUUGCACAAGAGCAUUUGAGAACCUUUUAAAUGUCUGACACAUUUCACGGCACAUAAUAGAGAUGUAAAACACACUUCUUGAUAGACGGAAACACUCCCAUUAACACUGUACUAGCAAAAAGUAGCCCUAAUUUUUCUACUGCUAUUAAAACACCACUGCUAUUAAAAUUACCUAAAAAUGUUAAGAUUCAUGUUAACCCUUUUAUGGACAACGGAAAACAAUUUAAAAAUGUGAAACAUAUGGAAGAUUCAUAUUCUAUUUAUCAGUCUUACACCUACUUCUAUUUUUUAAGUAAAAAUUAUAAAAAAAUAAAUAAAAUAAAAUAAAAAAUAAAAAAAUAAAAAUUAAAAAAAAAAUUAGUUUCUAGUGAUCACCUGAUUUAAAUACCAAA
Molecule: long non-coding RNA, 2273 nt
Filed under: Sus scrofa (pig)
Lineage: Eukaryota; Metazoa; Chordata; Mammalia; Artiodactyla; Suidae
Description: lncRNA (ENSSSCG00060037357.1)
Source: RNAcentral